This 402-nucleotide ribosomal RNA is filed under the name Bacteroidota bacterium. RNAcentral's name for it is "Bacteroidetes bacterium partial 16S ribosomal RNA". It matches the Rfam family "Bacterial small subunit ribosomal RNA", at positions 355 to 776 of the family's 1533-position model. Lineage: Bacteria; Pseudomonadati; Bacteroidota. The record is from RNAcentral.
UGGGGAAUUUUGCACAAUGGGGGAAACCCUGAUGCAGCGACGCCGCGUGAUUUAGAAGGCCUUCGGGUUGUAAAAAUCUUUUCUAUGGGAAGAAAAUGACAGUACCAUAGGAAUAAGGACCGGCUAAUUACGUGCCAGCAGCCGCGGUAAUACGUAAGGUCCGAGCGUUGUCCGGAAUCAUUGGGCGUAAAGGGUACGUAGGCGGGUAAGCAAGUUAGAAGUGAAAUCCUGUAGCUCAACUACAGUAAGCUUUUAAAACUGCUCAUCUUGAGAUAUGGAAGGGAAAGUGGAAUUCCUAGUGUAGCGGUGAAAUGCGCAGAUAUUAGGAGGAAUACCGGUGGCGAAGGCUACUUUCUGGCCAUAAUCUGACGCUGAUGUACGAAAGCGUUGGUAGCAAACAGG